AACGGUCUAUACCUGCGGUACCUGCGGAGGGAUCAUUACCGAGUUUACAACUCCCAAACCCAAUGUGAACGUUACCAAACUGUUGCCUCGGCGGGAUCUCUGCCCCGGGUGCGUCGCAGCCCCGGACCAAGGCGCCCGCCGGAGGACCAACCAAAACUCUUAUUGUAUACCCCCUCGCGGGUUUUUUUAUAAUCUGAGCCUUCUCGGCGCCUCUCGUAGGCGUUUCGAAAAUGAAUCAAA
This 240-nucleotide unclassified non-coding RNA is filed under the name soil metagenome. RNAcentral describes it as "partial contains 5.8S ribosomal RNA, internal transcribed spacer 2, and large subunit ribosomal RNA". The record is from RNAcentral.